GAUCUAUGUUCGGAAUGGUUUUACUUGAAUAAUGGUACCCGUCAGGGUUGUCCCCUAUCACCAAUUUUAUACAUACUAACUAUGGGUUCAUUCGCCAUAAAAAUAAGAACCAAUACAUUUAUCAAAGGUGUUCCAACUAGUCCAGAUGAUUUUAAAUUAUGUUUGUAUGCGGAUCACACUCUAAUUACCCUGAUAGUCUCCAUAAUCUCUGUUAAAUAUUUGAUGAAGGAAAUAGACUAUUUUAGCAAGAUUUCAAAUUAUAAAAUCAAUAUUGAAAAGAUGACGGCCCUCUUUGUAAAUAUAGACCUAAGGACUAUACAAAACAUUCUAAAUACUUUUAAUUUCACUGAUAUAAAGGAAGCCUUCAGUAAUCCAGGAGUUAUGUUAGAUAAAAAA
This is a non-coding RNA of Pelobates cultripes (western spadefoot toad), 396 nucleotides long. The record is from the annotation of a GenBank genome assembly. Lineage: Eukaryota; Metazoa; Chordata; Amphibia; Anura; Pelobatidae.